AGUUUGAUCCCGCACUCAGGAUGAACGCUAGCUACAGGCUUAACACAUGCAAGUCGAGGGGAAACGACAUCGAAAGCUUGCUUUUGAUGGGCGUCGACCGGCGCACGGGUGAGUAACGCGUAUCCAACCUGCCCACCACUUGGGGAUAACCUUGCGAAAGUAAGACUAAUACCCAAUGACGUCUCUAGAAGACAUCUGAAGGAGAUUAAAGAUUUAUCGGUGAUGGAUGGGGAUGCGUCUGAUUAGCUUGUUGGCGGGGUAACGGCCCACCAAGGCGACGAUCAGUAGGGGUUCUGAGAGGAAGGUCCCCCACAUUGGAACUGAGACACGGUCCAAACUCCUACGGGAGGCAGCAGUGAGGAAUAUUGGUCAAUGGGCGAGAGCCUGAACCAGCCAAGUAGCGUGCAGGAUGACGGCCCUAUGGGUUGUAAACUGCUUUUAUAAGGGAAUAAAGUGAGCCUCGUGAGGCUUUUUGCAUGUACCUUAUGAAUAAGGACCGGCUAAUUCCGUGCCAGCAGCCGCGGUAAUACGGAAGGUCCGGGCGUUAUCCGGAUUUAUUGGGUUUAAAGGGAGCGUAGGCCGGAGAUUAAGCGUGUUGUGAAAUGUAGACGCUCAACGUCUGCACUGCAGCGCGAACUGGUUUCCUUGAGUACGCACAAAGUGGGCGGAAUUCGUGGUGUAGCGGUGAAAUGCUUAGAUAUCACGAAGAACUCCGAUUGCGAAGGCAGCUCACUGGAGCGCAACUGACGCUGAAGCUCGAAAGUGCGGGUAUCGAACAGGAUUAGAUACCCUGGUAGUCCGCACGGUAAACGAUGGAUGCCCGCUGUUGGUCUGAAUAGGUCAGCGGCCAAGCGAAAGCAUUAAGCAUCCCACCUGGGGAGUACGCCGGCAACGGUGAAACUCAAAGGAAUUGACGGAAGGGCGUGAUUA
This 930-nucleotide ribosomal RNA is filed under the name uncultured bacterium. RNAcentral's name for it is "bacterial SSU rRNA". It matches the Rfam family "Bacterial small subunit ribosomal RNA", at positions 10 to 929 of the family's 1533-position model. The record is from RNAcentral.